This 274-nucleotide ribosomal RNA is filed under the name uncultured bacterium. RNAcentral's name for it is "partial 16S ribosomal RNA". It matches the Rfam family "Archaeal small subunit ribosomal RNA", at positions 473 to 747 of the family's 1478-position model. The record is from RNAcentral.
AAACCAGCACCUCAAGUGGUCAGGAUGAUUAUUGGGCCUAAAGCAUCCGUAGCCGGCUCUGUAAGUUUUCGGUUAAAUCUGUACGCUCAACGUACAGGCUGCCGGGAAUACUGCAGAGCUAGGGAGUGGGAGAGGUGGACGGUACUCGGGAGGAAGUGGUAAAAUGCUUUGAUCUCUCGAUGACCACCUGUGGCGAAGGCGGUCUACCAGAACACGUCCGACGGUGAGGGAUGAAAGCUGGGGGAGCAAACCGGAUUAGAAACCCCAGUAGUCC